RNAcentral lists this ribosomal RNA (468 nucleotides) under uncultured bacterium. Its description in RNAcentral is "partial 16S ribosomal RNA". It matches the Rfam family "Bacterial small subunit ribosomal RNA", at positions 28 to 507 of the family's 1533-position model. The record is from RNAcentral.
GACGAACGCUGGCGGCGUGCUUAACACAUGCAAGUCGAACGGAAAGGCCCUGCUUUUGUGGGGUGCUCGAGUGGCGAACGGGUGAGUAGCACGUGAGUAACUUGCCCUUGACUUUGGGAUAACUUCAGGAAACUGGGGCUAAUACCGGAUAGGAGCUCCUGCUGCAUGGUGGGGGUUGGAAAGUUUCGGCGGUUGGGGAUGGACUCGCGGCUUAUCAGCUUGUUGGUGGGGUAGUGGCUUACCAAGGCUUUGACGGGUAGCCGGCCUGAGAGGGUGACCGGCCACAUUGGGACUGAGAUACGGCCCAGACUCCUACGGGAGGCAGCAGUGGGGAAUAUUGCACAAUGGGCGGAAGCCUGAUGCAGCAACGCCGCGUGCGGGAUGACGGCCUUCGGGUUGUAAACCGCUUUCGCCUGUGACGAAGCGUGAGUGACGGUAAUGGGUAAAGAAGCACCGGCUAACUACGUG